AUACGCAUGAUCUGGACGAUUCUGGGGCCUCAAGAGAGGAAGAGAAGGAGUCAUGAAGGGUGCAGGACUCUGCUUCUGGGCAGGAGGGGGACUCCCAACACAAACUCCGCACUGAGCCCCACCUUGGAGCCUCCUGCACUCUGCAGGGCCAGUGCAUAGCCCCCUGCUCAUGGUGCGAGCCAGCUGACUCCUAGGCUGCUGGCCCUGCCAAGGUAAGGACAGAGGAUGCCUGUUGUACGCUGACAGCCCCUGCACUUACUUCUCGCUGUGCCAUC
Molecule: long non-coding RNA, 275 nt
Filed under: Oryctolagus cuniculus (rabbit)
Lineage: Eukaryota; Metazoa; Chordata; Mammalia; Lagomorpha; Leporidae
Description: lncRNA (ENSOCUG00000038216.1)
Source: RNAcentral